AUUGAACGCUGGCGGCAUGCUUUACACAUGCAAGUCGAACGGCAGCACGGGUGCUUGCACCUGGUGGCGAGUGGCGAACGGGUGAGUAAUGCAUCGGAACGUGCCCAUGAGUGGGGGAUAGCCCGGCGAAAGCCGGAUUAAUACCGCAUACGCCCUUAGGGGGAAAGCGGGGGAUCUUCGGACCUCGCGCUAUUGGAGCGGCCGAUGUCGGAUUAGCUAGUAGGUGAGGUAAAGGCUCACCUAGGCGACGAUCCGUAGCUGGUCUGAGAGGAUGAUCAGCCACACUGGGACUGAGACACGGCCCAGACUCCUACGGGAGGCAGCAGUAAGGAAUAUUGGACAAUGGAGGAAACUCUGAUCCAGCCAUGCCGCGUGUGUGAAGAAGGCCUU
RNAcentral lists this ribosomal RNA (390 nucleotides) under uncultured bacterium. RNAcentral's name for it is "bacterial SSU rRNA". It matches the Rfam family "Bacterial small subunit ribosomal RNA", at positions 30 to 418 of the family's 1533-position model. The record is from RNAcentral.